UGCUCUAUAACCGGAGGGAGAGUAGGG
Molecule: small RNA, 27 nt
Filed under: Bombyx mori (domestic silkworm)
Lineage: Eukaryota; Metazoa; Arthropoda; Insecta; Lepidoptera; Bombycidae
Description: ovarian small RNA-34190
Source: RNAcentral